Molecule: long non-coding RNA, 356 nt
Organism: Physella acuta
Lineage: Eukaryota; Metazoa; Mollusca; Gastropoda; Physidae
Source: RefSeq, a predicted model, not a curated record
GGUGCGACUUUGGUGACAAGCAUUAUGAUGAAGGUGAGACCAUAGACAUGGAGGCAACGUGUGCCACGUGCGUGUGUGACCAAGGUGAUAUGACUUGUGACUACAGCAAGUGUGGUGCCGACUCAGGAGCCACUGAGAGCUCGGAUGGGUAACCGACACAAUAACUUCAUAUGCCAAGGUUACAGAAACAGGUUUCCAGAACAACCACAAUAACUUCUCAAACAGACGAUGAAUCCUAAAUCUUAUAUUUAAAGUCACGAAAUUUCGAUAGUUAUUUUUAUUUGGAUGUAAUAAAGUGAUCAAAAAUGUAUACAUGUUUCCUAUAGUUUGGAAUUUUCGUUCCUGUAUUGAACGAU